GCUACAAAAAAGAAAAAAAAUUAACAUUAAGCAGUUUGUUUUCCUUCCAAAAUGUAUAUAGCAUAGUAGUAAAGAUUAUGAAUUCUGGAACCACUUGACUAGGUUUAAAUCUCAGAUCUGUCAUUAAUUAGCUGUGUGUUCUUGGGAUCAUACUAACACCCACCUUCUGGAGUUGAUGUAAGGAUGAAUAGUGUCCCCCAUCUAGGGUUGUCGCAAAGACAAAAGCGUUGUUCAGAACAGUGCCUGGCACACCAUAAGCACUCAGUGAGUGUCGGCUAUUUUCCCUAUUCACUCCGAUUAGUAAACAGCCUGAGUAAUUUAAUAAGGUGAUUUUUACUUGGGGUUCAAAAGUUUUGGUCACAACCAACAUCUUAACAAGAAUGUCCUUUGCUCUGUACCACCCAGGUCACUCUCAGAUCAUGAGGCUGGCAGCAAGGAAAAUGAGGACGGAUUAUUAAUAUACACCAGAAAAUACAUUAUCUCUAGGAACUAUUGUUAACACCCUGAAAGGCUUUUCUUUUUCAAUAUCUGAAAUACAUUGUAGGAAAUUAAUUGGUUUUCUCAAUCUCAUUUCUAGUGUCAGCUGUGACAUCACAAAGCAAGCACCCAGAUGGCACCAACUGAACCUUUUAUCAGCAUUUGUAGUACUGAUGCCAAAAGGAAAUGGGCCCGGCAGCCUGAUCAAAAUUGUCAUGCUAACGGGUAGAUCCUUGGAAAUGAAGUUGGCAGAAAAUCAAUAAAUUAUCAGAAAAACACAUAACCAAGUCAUGCACUCAGCACUGCCUUCUGAAAUUUCUUCUUGAGCUUGUAAGUUGUCUUUAUAGGAGGAUGUAUAUUAGAUAAUUUUUAUGCAAUUCCUUGUGAAAAUAAAUACACCUGUCUUCACAAAUGAUAAAUUGAUGAAAAAAAUGAUUCAAAAACAAGAGGAGAGCAAGUAGCCUGCUCACUCUUGUGAGGCAAGCUGCCAUUGUGAGCUUCCCUGUGGAAAGGCCCAUUUGUCAAGGAACUGAGUCAUCAGUCCAACAACCCAUGAGAAGAGUCCUGCCAACAACCAUAGAGAAAAGUCAAAGUGCAGCUCCGUGGAGAUAACGUCCCAUGGUUGGUUGCUGCUGUGCUGAAAGGAUCCUUGCACUCUCUGCUAC
This is a non-coding RNA of Microcebus murinus (gray mouse lemur), 1142 nucleotides long. The record is from RefSeq and is a predicted model, not a curated record. NCBI's taxonomy places the organism in Eukaryota, Metazoa, Chordata, Mammalia, Primates, Cheirogaleidae.